CCUACGGGUGGCAGCAGUGAGGAAUAUUGGUCAAUGGCCGGAAGGCUGAACCAGCCAUGCCGCGUGAAGGUCAGUGCCCUAUGGGCGUUAAACUUCUUUUGUGCGGGAGCAAUAAUGGGCACGUGUGGCCAGACGAGAGUACCGUACGAAUAAGCAGCGGCGAACUCCGUGCCAGCAGCCGCGGUCAUACGGGGGAUGCAAGCGUUCUCCGGCUUUAUUGGGGUUAAAGGGGGCGUAGGCUGUGCGGUAAGUCAGCGGUGCAUUGCCCCCGCUCAACGGGGUGAAGUGCCAUUGAUACUGCCUUGCUGGACUGCGGCUGCCGUGGGCUGAAUGUGUGGUGUAGCGGUGAAAUGCAUAGAUAUCACACAGAACACCGAUUGCGACGGCAUCUCACGAAUCCGCGAUUGACGCUGAUGCACGAACGCGUGGGUAUCAAACAGGAUUAGAUACCCCUGUAGUC
Molecule: ribosomal RNA, 460 nt
Filed under: uncultured bacterium
Lineage: Bacteria
Description: partial 16S ribosomal RNA
Rfam family: Bacterial small subunit ribosomal RNA
Source: RNAcentral